Molecule: ribosomal RNA, 245 nt
Filed under: uncultured bacterium
Lineage: Bacteria
Description: partial 16S ribosomal RNA
Rfam family: Bacterial small subunit ribosomal RNA
Source: RNAcentral
UACAGAGGUAGCGAGCGUUACUCGGAUUUAUUGGGUGUAAAGGGCAGGUAGGUGUUCUGUCAAGUUAGAAGUGAAAUCCUGUGGCUCAACCACAGAACUGCUCCUAAAACUGACGGAAUUGAGAAUAGAAGAGGAAAGCGGAAUUCCCGGUGUAAGGGUGAAAUCUGUAGAGAUCGGGAGGAACACCAGUGGCGAAAGCGGCUUUCUGGUCUAUUUCUGACGCUGAACUGCGAAAGCUUGGGGAG